UACGAAGGGGGCUAGCGUUGCUCGGAAUUACUGGGCGUAAAGGGCGCGUAGGCGGAUAGUUUAGUCAGAGGUGAAAGCCCAGGGCUCAACCUUGGAACUGCCUUUGAUACUGGCUAUCUUGAGUUCGGGAGAGGUGAGUGGAAUGCCGAGUGUAGAGGUGAAAUUCGUAGAUAUUCGGCGGAACACCAGUGGCGAAGGCGACUCACUGGCCCGAUACUGACGCUGAGGCGCGAAAG
This 236-nucleotide ribosomal RNA is filed under the name uncultured bacterium. RNAcentral's name for it is "partial 16S ribosomal RNA". It matches the Rfam family "Bacterial small subunit ribosomal RNA", at positions 524 to 759 of the family's 1533-position model. The record is from RNAcentral.